This is a long non-coding RNA of Aedes aegypti (yellow fever mosquito), 573 nucleotides long. RefSeq lists it as uncharacterized. The record is from RefSeq and is a predicted model, not a curated record. Lineage: Eukaryota; Metazoa; Arthropoda; Insecta; Diptera; Culicidae. The transcript has 2 exons.
UUUUGUCAUCAAAGGUCCCAUGAGCAACAGCUGUCAAAAUAAAUGAAAAAGCUGAUACGACGCACCUGUAGUAUUGAUUUUGCCUCGUUAAACAGUUUUUUUUACAAUGAGUGGAAUAAAUUCAAUGCCAGAAGCUGCGACUUUUCGAAACCAAAUCGUUUGGUUUGAUGAAAGGAAUUUACGGAAGAACAUUCCUAUGGAAAGACCCCAACUAAAGACCCGCCAGAUCACAGCUUAGUAGUCUCUUCACUUGAUGGUUCCAGUUGAGAAACAGCAUCGGGAUCGAUUCCAUCGAUGGGAAUGAGCACCCAUUCGCCAUCCAACCUUCAAGCGAAUCCAGUAACACUGAUUCCAUGACAAAAGCGGUCCGCACCGGCUGGGCAACUGGAAACAUCAAUGGAUCAGUCUCCCCAAUCAAUCCCUUCAUCUUCCCUGACACGUCUUCGUCCGUUAAUUCACCAGCUUCGUAUAAGCUGACUUCAUCAGACGGUAGCCUAGGCCUUGAAAUUGAGUCCUUAAAAACGAGUUAUGAAGAGUUGAAUGGUGUACUAACAGGGCUGGUAGCAAGUCACU